Non-coding RNA from Myodes glareolus (Bank vole), 742 nucleotides. Lineage: Eukaryota; Metazoa; Chordata; Mammalia; Rodentia; Cricetidae. The record is from RefSeq and is a predicted model, not a curated record.
GGGGAAAGUGAGCAGGUCAGGACCCCACAGGGAUAGAUACGUUAUAGAUGGGUUUGCUGGCGGUAGCUGUUGCUGCCUCCUCCCCUUCUCCUCCCCUCUUCCUUCUCCUCCUGCCCUCCUCCUCCUCUUCCUCUUCCCACCCGCCUCUCCUCCUGGCUGUCUGAAGCUCUUAAACCGAAGAAGAACUGCGUUUCCUCCCACACGCCCUGGGCUCUUGGGUUCCUACUGUAACCCUCACAAAGCUUUGCCGCAGAUUCAUCGGUGGGCCAGCCAAAGCCUGUACCCUUUAGACUUGCAAGGGAAGCCCUUUCCACUGCGGAGGCCGCUCUGCUACCGUCUGAAUGGCAUCCUGUGAAACCAAGUGCUAGACAAAGAGCCAGGAAGAGAUGUAAAUAAUAGCAAGAGGUGAUGAUAGCUGCACAUAAUACAAUCUCCGAAGAGCAGGAGCCGGAGCCCGCCAGUUUCUGGUUAGACACCAAGCAGACCGGAGCCAAGCACUCUGCAUGUCAAAACAGAACAAUAAAUGCGAGGCACGAAGAAGAAAGCCAAUGGAAAUGAGAGGCAAGUCUGGUGACAUUUCAUCUUUUUAUGAGGACCAAAUCCCAUGCGUGGGGACAUCGGAGGGCAGGAUCGAAUUCCAUUUUGCAAGGACUAAGAGUGUUUCUUCAUGCCCCCCCUUCCUGUUUUCCUUUCCCAGGCCUUCCCCCCCUUCUUUCUUACUUAAACGAAAUAAUAAAAGCAU